UACAGAGGGUGCAAGCGUUAAUCGGAAUUACUGGGCGUAAAGCGUGCGUAGACGGUUACAUAAGUCGGGUGUGAAAGCCCCGGGCUCAACCUGGGAAUUGCAUUCGAGACUGCGUAGCUAGGGUGCGGAAGAGGGAAGCGGAAUUUCCGGUGUAGCGGUGAAAUGCGUAGAUAUCGGAAGGAACACCAGUGGCGAAAGCGGCUUCCUGGUCCAGCACCGGCGUUCAGGCACGAAAGCGUGGGGAGCAAACAGG
Molecule: ribosomal RNA, 253 nt
Filed under: uncultured bacterium
Lineage: Bacteria
Description: partial 16S ribosomal RNA
Rfam family: Bacterial small subunit ribosomal RNA
Source: RNAcentral